Non-coding RNA from Paramisgurnus dabryanus, 376 nucleotides. Lineage: Eukaryota; Metazoa; Chordata; Actinopteri; Cypriniformes; Cobitidae. The record is from RefSeq and is a predicted model, not a curated record.
GUCAGACAUUAACAUCUAAUAUGUAAUAUCUAGUGAUAUGUUUUCUUAGAUAAUGCUGUGAACAAAUGCUCUUUUACCUUGAAUAUUAGGUGGAUCCACACUUGAACCAUCUGUAUGAUGAUCUGCACCCACUGGAUCUGUAAAUGGUGGUGCAGGUUUCUGAAUUGAUGUCAGAUGCAAAGCAGAAGCUUAUUUUCUUCCAGUUUGGCUUCAUUGUGGAAAAAUGCUUGAAACUAAAAUGCAGAAUUCUGGCCUGGUGUUUGGUCCCCACUUUCUCUGGCUUGUGUCUCCAUCAUCAUUACACUCUUGUCAGUGUAAUAGUAUCGUCGUCUGCGUACCAGGACUUUGUUACUCAGCUGUCCCUUCUCCUUCAAGC